CCUACGGGGGGCUGCAGUGGGGAAUCUUGCGCAAUGGGCGAAAGCCUGACGCAGCAACGCCGCGUGCGGGAUGACGGCCUUCGGGUUGUAAACCGCUUUCAGCAGGGACGAAAAUGACGGUACCUGCAGAAGAAGCUCCGGCUAACUACGUGCCAGCAGCCGCGGUAAUACGUAGGGAGCAAGCGUUGUCCGGAUUUAUUGGGCGUAAAGAGCUCGUAGGCGGUUCCGUAAGUCGAGUGUGAAAAAUCUGGGCUCAACCCAGUGGAGCACUCGAUACUGCGGUGACUAGAGUCCGGUAGGGGAGUGUGGAAUUCCUGGUGUAGCGGUGAAAUGCGCAGAUAUCAGGAGGAACACCGACGGCGAAGGCAGCACUCUGGGCCGGUACUGACGCUGAGGAGCGAAAGCGUGGGGAGCAAACAGGAUUAGAUACCCCUGUAGUC
RNAcentral lists this ribosomal RNA (440 nucleotides) under uncultured Candidatus Nemicrothrix sp. RNAcentral's name for it is "bacterial SSU rRNA". It matches the Rfam family "Bacterial small subunit ribosomal RNA", at positions 338 to 795 of the family's 1533-position model. Lineage: Bacteria; Bacillati; Actinomycetota; Acidimicrobiia; Acidimicrobiales; Microthrixaceae. The record is from RNAcentral.